AUAUAUAUAUAUAUAUAUAUAUUACUAUUUUUACAGAAGUGCAUAAGACAAUGGUUAACAAAACAUAAAACAGCACAAAUAAAAUUGAUGUAGCCUACACAGUAUGUGGUUAUUACGUUACAGGUGUACAAUUUUGUCGAGUACGGUGUAAAUAAUAUAUAUAUAAAGUUUGUUUAUUAUUUUGUGAUUCACAAGUGUUUAUUUACGGUUGCGAAUUGCAUUAUGAGAUGUUGGUCUCUGCUCUGUCCACUUUUGAUGCUGAUAAUUCAGCUGUACUGUUUAACGAAGUGACUUUUAUUUAUUUAUUUUAGUCGUUUGAAAUAAUAUAAUGCACAAGAAAUAAUAAUAUAUAGAGAAAUAAGUCUGUAAAAUAACAGAAAACUACUGGCAGUUUAUAAUGAGGUUUUUGUAGCAUAAUAUACACCACCAACACAGACAGUAUAUCAGCUGUAUACUAUUAAAAAUGCUAAUAAAAGUCACUUUUUAAAAAAACUUUUCAAUAUUAGAUGGUAUUGAAAGAGAGAUCAAUUCCAAUAAUGCAAUUCAAAAGCAGAAACAAACGGGGAAACAUCAAAAAUAAAGACAUAAAUCACAAAAUAUGGAAAACAGCUCAUAUAUGGAUUUUUUUUACUGUGUAGAUAUGGAUUUCUCAAUUAAUCUAUUGAACAUGUUGAUGAAAUGCAUUGAUAUCACUCAUUUAUAUAAUGUCUCAGUAUAUGAAUACGCAUUUACAUUGCAGAAAACUGAUCUCUUGGUUUAGUUUGACCUGUUUGUCUGGAUUUGUGUGUUUUCAGAGUUUGGAGAAUAAUGUAGAAGGGAUUGAACUGGAUGGAGUUUUUGUUGAUCAUAACGAUCCUUCACCUAAAACCUCAAAGUGUCGGCGGGAGCUGCAGAGCCUGAAGAAAGACCUCAAUGAGGUGGUGGUGUGGAAAAUCAGAUUAUGGAUGGUGAUACUUCUCAUCGUCAGUGCCAUAGUUGUGGUUAUUGCGACCACAGUCGUUGUGUGUGCAGUGGAGGACGACGUGGAUGAGACAUAUGACAGAUCCUCGUUUGUGGUGCCGCGUCUCUUCAGAGGGAACUUUACUCUGGAGAGCAGCAGUAGUUCAGCUUUAGACCAGCAGAUGCUGAUGGAGCAGCUGAAACAGGAGGUCACCGCCGUCUACAAUUCUUCUGCUGCUCUGGAACGCUACUUCAGCGAUGUGACCAUCAGCAGUUUCCAGGACUCCACAGCCCAGUUUGAGCUCCAGUUCAUGAUGCCGCCAGAAAAUGAGGAGCUGGUUCGAUAUACUUUGAGUGUAAAGAUUGUGAAGGGUGUGCUUCAGCAACACUUUUACGAUCAGGACAGCAGAGAACAGCUUAGUGUCAUCCCAACAUCGCUCAGGAUGGAAGCUUUUUAAGCAGAACCUGAACUCCAGGAUCCUGAACAACUGGAUGUUUGAAGUUAAACCACUGGUAGCCCAAUCUAAAAUGAAAACAAUCGACUUGUCACAUUUUAAUUAAAUCCUCUUUCUCUCUGACAAUCAUCUGUUAAUAUUCUUAUAAAAAUAAUUAGUAGUAAUUGUAAUUAUUUCAGCUAACCAUCCAUACUUGUUCAAAACAACUGUUGUUUUAAGUCAGCUAUGUUUUUGUAUGUUGUUAUUAUUAUUAUUACAGUAGAUGGAUGUGGUGCACUGUUUAAUGAUGUUCUCUUCUGUGGUUCUGUUUUCUUAUUGAAUUAACUUCUUUAAUAUUUUAGUCAGGUAAUUAUUUUUUAAAUGCUUUUUUAUGUAAGUUUUUUUUAUAAUAAAAAAGUUUUAAAGUUUUAAAGUUUUAUAAUAAAUAAUAUACAUACAUAUAUACAUAUAUAAAAGGCUCAAUGGCUUCAUGAUUCAACCACCUUUCACAUUCAGCACUUUUAUAGGAGUAUCAUUCAUUCAUUUUCCUUCCCCUUUAUCCCCUUUAUUAAUCAGGGGUCGCCACAGCGGAAUGAACCGCCAACUUAUCCGGUAUAUGUUUUAUACAGUAGAUGCUCUUCCGGCUGCAACCCAUCACUUGGAAACAUCCAUACACACUCAUUCACUCUCAUACACUAUGGACAAUAGUGUACCUUACCUAAUACACCAAUAGCGCAUGUGUUUGGACUGUACCGGAGCACCCAGAGGAAACCCAUGCCAACACGGGGAGAACAUGCAAACUCCACACAGAAAUGCCAACUGGCCCUGCCGAGGCUCGAACCAGCAACCUUCUUGCUGUGAGGCGAUCGGGCUGCCCACUGCGCCACCAUGACGCUGAUUAAUAUAAAGUGGUGAAAUCAUUGUUCUUUGCUGC
This 2307-nucleotide long non-coding RNA is filed under the name Danio rerio (zebrafish). RNAcentral's name for it is "lncRNA (ENSDARG00000117419.1)". Lineage: Eukaryota; Metazoa; Chordata; Actinopteri; Cypriniformes; Danionidae. The record is from RNAcentral.